UGAUAUGAGAAACUUUGAAAAACCUCUGUUUAACCUUUAUUUGCCCAGGCCCCAGGCGCCCUGGGGAGAAUGAUGGGGCUGUCUAGGAUAAGUAAACAACAGUGCAUUAGCUAGGACUGAGAUUAACACCCCCUGCUUCUGUGUCCUUGGAGCCCUGGAACUGAAUAAUAGGAGCCUUUGAACCCUGCCCCGUAAAUAGAACUAAUUAUCGCAUUCUGCUUCUGCCCCGUAGACACCUGUGUCCUUGAGCCCUGGCUCUGCCCCUAGACAGGACUAACUUCCGCAUUCCGCUUCUGUAUCCCGCCUUGCCACGUAGACAAGAAGACCCUAAUCUAUAAAAACCCCAGGAAUCCUUUGUUCAUUGCUCAGAAUUUGGAAAUGACUCCUCUGAGCCCAUGCAUGUAAAAUAAACCUCGUACUCCAAAAUCCCUCGGUGUUUGGUCGCUUCAUUUCCCACAACAUUUGGUUCCCUGACCGGGAAAGGCGACCUCACACUAAUUCAGGCGUUUGUCACCGUCUGGAAACGCCGGGAGGCGGCCGCAGGACCAACUGGGGAAAGCGGGGGUGCACGUGCCCUGAGAUUUCUUAGGCCCCGUCCAGUUGGGGCGGCGGCCGCUGACCCGCACGGCCAGGCGGGAAGUGAGAGAUUCUGGACUACGACUUGAUUAAAGGCCUUGAUUGGAGGCGCCGAACUUGAAUAUGACCUGACCAGAAUGACGGCGGUCCAGUAAUGCCAGCCUCUGGACACCAAGCCUGCGAUGUCCGGGUGACAGCCAACUGACCAGGACCCUGUGAGGUCUUUCCCCUUACAGGAAAGACUCCCUCCGUGCUGCCCCCCUUCAGGGCACCCCAACCCAGGGUAAAUAAGACAGCGUCCAUUUCCAGCUUGGAAGAAGUUACAAGAAGAUGAGACCUCCGUCCCUUUUCCUUUAUAUAAUUAUGAAGUAGGUAUAAAUCUAAAAGGAAGAAUAUUAAUACAGAGUGCAUCCACGGGGAGCCCCAGAAAAGAUUUAGAAUAAGAUCCAAGGUUCGGGGUAUCCAAGAGAUAUUGAGGUGUACUCACCACUCCCCGGGAGAGGGGGACGAAUAGAGCGGGGCCAGUGAGAGAUGUUGUACAUAACAACAGGUUACAGCUGACCUCUAAAGUAAUUAUUUGACAUAUAGCUUUUAGCUAGUUUCAUAGAUAUAUUAAAUAGUAUAGCCAGACUUAGAGCUAAGGAAAUAAAGUCACUUACCCAGGAUGUAGCUAAGAGCAGAGCCCCUAAGGGGGGGAGGCCUGUGUCAGAGCUUGGAAAAGAUCAACUCCAGGCCAUGAGGGGAUAAACUACCCAGGUGAAAGAGGGCACCGCAUAGUUUAAGGCAGAGUGCCGACCCCUGCAGCUUUGGUGAAAGAGGCCCAUGUGGCUUUGGGGUUCCCCCUUUGGCUGUGUAGCCUAGAAGGCAAGAAAGACUUUGACUAGAACUUAGUACAAAAAAGGACCUCUUGCCAGUGGACUGUGAGAGAGUGCCACAUAACUUUAGAUUGGCUAAAAGAUCCUGCCUGAUGCAGCUGAUAGUAACAGCAGCCUGAGACACAGAUGUGUGCUCUUUCCUGGUUUGCAGUGCCCGGAGUUAAAACGGUGCAAGUACGGAACAAAGACAUGAAAGUAUUUUGAGUUAAAAAAAGGGAAGAAAAACUUAGUUUCUGACUGCUCUUUUGCAAUAAUAGAACUAGAAUUAUAAGUAAUAACAAGAGAAAAGGAAAAAGAAACCUCAUUAAUACUCUAAAUUUAAUAAAAGGGGGGACUUGUUUAUUCUUACAAAAAUAUAUAUUAUGCUUAAACAAGCAACCAGUGUUGUUUAGCAUAAAAGGGGGGAAUGAUAUGAGAAACUUUGAAAAACCUCUGUUUAACCUUUAUUUGCCCAGGCCCCAGGCGCCCUGGGGAGAAUGAUGGGGCUGUCUAGGAUAAGUAAACAACAGUGCAUUAGCUAGGACUGAGAUUAACACCCCUGCUUCUGUGUCCUUGGAGCCCUGGAACUGAAUAAUAGGAGCCUUUGAACCCUGCCCCGUAAAUAGAACUAAUUAUCGCAUUCUGCUUCUGCCCCGUAGACACCUGUGUCCUUGAGCCCUGGCUCUGCCCCUAGACAGGACUAACUUCCGCAUUCCGCUUCUGUAUCCCGCCUUGCCACGUAGACAAGAAGACCCUAAUCUAUAAAAACCCCAGGAAUCCUUUGUUCAUUGCUCAGAAUUUGGAAAUGACUCCUCUGAGCCCAUGCAUGUAAAAUAAACCUCGUACUCCAAAAUC
Molecule: long non-coding RNA, 2285 nt
Organism: Artibeus jamaicensis (Jamaican fruit-eating bat)
Lineage: Eukaryota; Metazoa; Chordata; Mammalia; Chiroptera; Phyllostomidae
Exons: 2
Source: RefSeq, a predicted model, not a curated record